Molecule: unclassified non-coding RNA, 358 nt
Filed under: soil metagenome
Description: partial contains 5.8S ribosomal RNA, internal transcribed spacer 2, and large subunit ribosomal RNA
Rfam family: 5.8S ribosomal RNA (bases 1-120)
Source: RNAcentral
GAUGAAGAACGCAGCGAAAUGCGAUAAGUAAUGUGAAUUGCAGAAUUCAGUGAAUCAUCGAAUCUUUGAACGCACAUUGCGCCCGUCAGUAUUCUGGCGGGCAUGCCUGUUCGAGCGUCAUUACGCCCCUCAAGUCCCCUGUGGACUUGGUGUUGGGGAUCGGCGAGGCUGGUUUUCCAGCACAGCCGUCCCUUAAAUUAAUUGGCGGUCUCGCCGUGGCCCUCCUCUGCGCAGUAGUAAAACACUCGCAACAGGAGCCCGGCGCGGUCCACUGCCGUAAAACCCCCCAACUUUUUAUAGUUGACCUCGAAUCAGGUAGGACUAACCGCUGAACUUAAGCAUAUCAAUAAGCGGAGGA